AAACCUAUAAUUAAAUGGUAGAAUAGUACUAUUAUAAAGAAUCUGUAGAAGUUCGAUUCUUCUCCGGCUUA
This 71-nucleotide transfer RNA is filed under the name Trametes villosa. RNAcentral describes it as "tRNA-Ile". It matches the Rfam family "tRNA". From Rfam's summary of the family: Transfer RNA (tRNA) molecules are approximately 80 nucleotides in length. Their secondary structure includes four short double-helical elements and three loops (D, anti-codon, and T loops). Further hydrogen bonds mediate the characteristic L-shaped molecular structure. tRNAs have two regions of fundamental functional importance: the anti-codon, which is responsible for specific mRNA codon recognition, and the 3' end, to which the tRNAs corresponding amino acid is attached (by aminoacyl-tRNA synthetases). tRNAs cope with the degeneracy of the genetic code in two manners: having more than one tRNA (with a specific anti-codon) for a particular amino acid; and 'wobble' base-pairing, i.e. permitting non-standard base-pairing at the 3rd anti-codon position. Lineage: Eukaryota; Fungi; Basidiomycota; Agaricomycetes; Polyporales; Polyporaceae. The record is from RNAcentral.